CCCAGUUCGGAUUACAGCCUGCAACCCGGCCUGUAUGAAGCUGGAAUCGCUAGUAAUCGCAGAUCAGAAUGCUGCGGUGGAUACGUUCCCGGGUCUUGUACACACCGCCCGUCACACCAUGGGAGCCAGGAAUGCCCGAAGCCAGUGGCCUAACCGCAAGGGAGGAGCUGUCGAAGGCAGGCCCGGUAACUGGGGUGAAGUCGUAACAAGGUAAC
This 215-nucleotide ribosomal RNA is filed under the name uncultured bacterium. RNAcentral's name for it is "partial 16S ribosomal RNA". It matches the Rfam family "Bacterial small subunit ribosomal RNA", at positions 1287 to 1500 of the family's 1533-position model. The record is from RNAcentral.